RNAcentral lists this ribosomal RNA (408 nucleotides) under uncultured bacterium. Its description in RNAcentral is "partial 16S ribosomal RNA". It matches the Rfam family "Bacterial small subunit ribosomal RNA", at positions 28 to 526 of the family's 1533-position model. The record is from RNAcentral.
GACGAACGCUGGCGGCGUGCUUAACACAUGCAAGUCGAACGAAGUGGCGAACGGGUGAGUAACGCGUAAUCCACCUGCCCUUCAGAGGGGGACAACAGUUGGAAACGACUGCUAAUACCGCAUACUGAAGUAGGUGAUUGCGUCGGAUUAGCUAGUUGGAGGGGUAACGGCCCACCAAGGCGAUGAUCAGUAGCCGGGCUUGGAGGAUGAAAGGCCACAUUGGGACUGAGAAACGGCCCAGACUCCUACGGGAGGCAGCAGUGGGGAAUCUUCCGCAAUGGACGAAAGUCUGACGGAGCAACGGCGCGUGAGUGAUGACGGGCUUCGGGUUGUAAAGCUCUGUUAAUCGGGACGCGGUACCGGAAGAGAAAGCCACGGCUAACUACGUGCCAGCAGCCGCGGUAAUUC